This is a long non-coding RNA of Oryza sativa Japonica Group (Japanese rice), 2052 nucleotides long. RefSeq lists it as uncharacterized. The record is from RefSeq and is a predicted model, not a curated record. NCBI's taxonomy places the organism in Eukaryota, Viridiplantae, Streptophyta, Magnoliopsida, Poales, Poaceae.
UUAUUUUGGGACGGAGGGAGUACUAUCAUCUCUGUUUAUACAAUUUAUAAUUGAAUUUCUGCAAUGAUCAUACUAGUGCUUCUGUCCAUAAAAUCAUAGACAUCGCCGUUAUGCCAAGGGAUGGAUUCAUCGAUUAGCCUUAAGUUGGGCUGGAAUGUGUGGGCCUCGUGUGGUCGUUUCCCUUCGGGCCCAACACGAGCCCGAAAGCUUCCAUCUUCUUCCAGAUUAGCGGCGGGGGGAGGCGACGGCGACCGGCGGCGACGGGUGGCCGGAAUUGCGGUUCCGUAUCCCUCUCCUGGCUUCCGCCCACCGCGCCCUUUGACUGUUCGACGCAAUGCCAGGGCUGGCCUGGUGGAGCGGCCGAGCGGAGGUGGUGGAGCCGCUUCUUCGCUGUUAGGCGGUGCGCUCAGGGUGUUCGGCGAAAUGCUCGAGAAUCUGGCCGGCGGCGAGUCCGGCCGUUGAAGAUCUCGUGGAGGCGAAGGGACCAUGCUUCGUGAGUGCGUGCUGCAAUGCCAAGCUCUCUCCAAGCGCUUCGGCUUCGCGAGAUAUGUUUGCGUGCUACUAAUACGGUCAUUUUUUUACACAAGGAUGCAUACCUUUUGGUAAGGAGGAAAGGACUCAUGUCUGUAAAAAGAAACAAAGCUUCUGAAGAUGCUUGAAGAGUUUAAGUAAGCUAGGGUGUAGUCUAGUGAUUGCAGUGACCUGAGUAAUACCCCAAGGUUCUGAGUUCAAAUCUUCAUAGGAGCGAAUUUCAGAGAUUAGGUUGUUUGCGGGGCUAAGUUCCCUAUUUCAAUGGCCGUAUAUAUCCAGUUGGAUGUAGAGGCCGGGUAAAAAAUACCCUUCUCUAAAAAAAAGAAGGUAGCGUGUGAGGGCUGCAAGUGGCAGCAGGCUGAUCACUUGGGAGUUGGGACACCACAGGGAAGCAUAGAAAAACUUUAUUCUGAUUGUACGAGGGAUAUCAAGUUCUUGACAUUUUGAUAUCAAGUUUCUUGAUACGACCUAUACAAUUCCAUAGCAAAAUUAUUUUAGGGCUUGUUUGGAUUGAAGCUAAUUUUUGCCCUACCAAUUUUAUUACGAUUGUACGAGGAAUAUCAAGUUCUUGACAUUUUGAUAUCAAGUUUCUCGAUACGACCUAUACAAUUCCAUAGCAAAAUUAUUUUAGGGCUUGUUUGGAUUGAAGCUAUUUUUUGCCCUACCAUUUUUUUGACAACUUUAAUAAUAUCGCAUAGAUAUUUGGUUUGCUACUUAAUUUUGGCAACUCUUAACUAGAUUGAUGCAUGAAUAUAUGCUUUGCGGAAUUGUUCCUUUGAAGUUGUUAAGCAUAAGAUGUAAAGUUUGUAAAAAUUGGGUAAGGUGGAGAAAAUGAUCUUGGAGAGCUCUCCACUGAAGUUGUUGCUCUUGAUAUCUAAUCUAUGGUUUCGAGAUUUGUGCAGCUGCUCGGAGUCGAUGGCACAUCUGAUCUCUCCAUACAUGUUGUUGUAGCCUAAAUGGAGUUCCUCUAAUUUCUUGAGUUUACCUAUAGAUUCUGGAAUCCCUGCCACUCAAAUUGUUCCCUCCAAGGUCAAGGUUAACUAGAUUACUUAGUUUGCAAGAUUGCUGAAGAUUUGCAAAGAUUCACUUGGAAAGAUGGUACUACGUUACAUGGAAAUCAUCAUUCCGAGAGGUGCACAUAAUUUGGAGAAAUCAUUGGCGGCGGCGUGGUCAUUGGUGUGUACAUGGUUUGGACAAGAACAAAUUGAGCACAACUGGUGGUGGCGACUGGUGAGUGGUGACCUGGUCUAUUUCUCUCAUCUUCUUGACCGUUUACUUUCUGUCGGAAAAGCGUGCGCUUUGGCUUUUUUGCUCCACACGUUUGCAGCGGUUUCCUCUUCUGGUUCCACCACUGUGACUCUGAAUUCUCGUGAGAAAUUUGAUAAUUUGACACUUUAUUCGUUGUGGAUUUGUUUUAAUUAAUACUUGAGAGAAUGGCACAUGGGACCAUUCGGAUAAAUGAAAGUGGGCUAUAAUGUUAAAUAAUCGAAGCCCACUUUUGUGGAGGGCGAAAUUAUCAAA